RNAcentral lists this ribosomal RNA (497 nucleotides) under uncultured bacterium. RNAcentral's name for it is "partial 16S ribosomal RNA". It matches the Rfam family "Bacterial small subunit ribosomal RNA", at positions 28 to 507 of the family's 1533-position model. The record is from RNAcentral.
GAUGAACGCUGGCGGCGUGCCUAAUACAUGCAAGUCGAGCGAACAGACGAGGAGCUUGCUCCUCUGACGUUAGCGGCGGACGGGUGAGUAACACGUGGAUAACCUACCUAUAAGACUGGGAUAACUUCGGGAAACCGGAGCUAAUACCGGAUAAUAUAUUGAACCGCAUGGUUCAAUAGUGAAAGACGGUUUUGCUGUCACUUAUAGAUGGAUCCGCGCCGCAUUAGCUAGUUGGUAAGGUAACGGCUUACCAAGGCAACGAUGCGUAGCCGACCUGAGAGAGGGAUCGGCCGCACUGGAACUGAGACACGGUCCAGACUCCUACGGGAGGCAGCAGUAGGGAAUCUUCCGCAAUGGGCGAAAGCUUGACGGAGCAACGCCGCGUGAGUGAUGAAGGUCUUCGGAUCGUAAAACUCUGUUAUUAGGGAAGAACAAAUGUGUAAGGAACUAUGCACGUCUUGACGGUACCUAAUCAGAAAGCCACGGCUAACUACGUG